AGCCUUAUAGCUCAACGGUAGAGCGCUUGGCUUAUACCCAAGAAGCACCAGAUUAGUGCGUGAUAUAGGUUCGAAUCCUAUUAAGGCUA
Molecule: transfer RNA, 89 nt
Filed under: Latilactobacillus sakei
Lineage: Bacteria; Bacillati; Bacillota; Bacilli; Lactobacillales; Lactobacillaceae
Description: Lactobacillus sakei tRNA-Ile
Rfam family: tRNA
About the family: Transfer RNA (tRNA) molecules are approximately 80 nucleotides in length. Their secondary structure includes four short double-helical elements and three loops (D, anti-codon, and T loops). Further hydrogen bonds mediate the characteristic L-shaped molecular structure. tRNAs have two regions of fundamental functional importance: the anti-codon, which is responsible for specific mRNA codon recognition, and the 3' end, to which the tRNAs corresponding amino acid is attached (by aminoacyl-tRNA synthetases). tRNAs cope with the degeneracy of the genetic code in two manners: having more than one tRNA (with a specific anti-codon) for a particular amino acid; and 'wobble' base-pairing, i.e. permitting non-standard base-pairing at the 3rd anti-codon position.
Source: RNAcentral